Molecule: ribosomal RNA, 443 nt
Filed under: uncultured bacterium
Lineage: Bacteria
Description: bacterial SSU rRNA
Rfam family: Bacterial small subunit ribosomal RNA
Source: RNAcentral
UUGCACGAAUGGGACGCAAGCCUGAUGCAGCCAUGCCGCGUGUAUGAAUAAGGCUUACGGGUUGUAAAGUACUUUCAGCAGUGAGGAAGGUGGGUAUGUUAAUAGCAUAUUCAUUUGACGUUAGCUGCAGAAGAAGCACCGGCUAACUCCGUGCCAGCAGCCGCGGUAAUACGGAGGGGUGCGAGCGUUAAUCGGAAUUACUGGGCGUAAAGCGCAUGCAGGUGGUUUGUUAAGUCAGAUGUGAAAGCCCGGGGCUCAAACCUCGGAAUUGCAUUUUGAAAACUGGCAAACUAGAGUACUGUAGAGGGGGUAGAAUUUCAGGUGUAGCGGUGAAAAUGCGUAGAGAUCUGAAGGAAUACCGGUGGCGAAGGCGGCCCCCUGGACAGAUACUGACACUCAGAUGCGAAAGCGUGGGGAGCAAACAGGAUUAGAUACCCUGGUAG